Molecule: long non-coding RNA, 434 nt
Filed under: Lathyrus oleraceus (garden pea)
Lineage: Eukaryota; Viridiplantae; Streptophyta; Magnoliopsida; Fabales; Fabaceae
Description: Pisum sativum (pea) long non-coding RNA (PSAT_LNC024378)
Source: RNAcentral
GGAAAUUUACAAACAUUAUCGUACAGUUAGAAUUUGUAAGGACACAAUUGCAAACUCUCCUAAUUACAAUUUUGAACUGAAAAUUAUAAUCUCUGAUAUUAGUUAUUGGGAAAAGAACAAAAAGAAAACAAAUUCCUAAGCACGCAGAAGCAUACCUACAAAAAAAGAAAAAGAAACAAAAACUCAUAAACCCUCCAAAUUACAAUUAUGAACGGAAAAUUACAUACUUUUUGUCUUCUUCAAUAUUUUUGUCUUCUUCCUCCCUUGAUCAGAUCUUUUGUUGUUACUCUUCCUGUUUUACUUGAUCAUAAUUUUUUGUGACUCUUCCUUCCUCCCUUAAUCGAAACCUGACUCUGAUAUUAGUUAUUGGGAAAAUAGCAACAACAAAAAACAAAUUCCUAAGCACAAAGAAGCAUACCAACAAAAAAGAAAAA